CAAAGCUUUCUUACACCCAAAGAUAAUUCCAANACCUUUCUCUACCCCUUUACCCCCUAUAGAGCAACUCUAUACUUCUAUAGAAACUUUUAUGUUAAAACUAGUAAUAAGAAGCAGACCCUUCUCUUAAACGCAAGUUUGCGUCAGUUCGGACACCCCCCUGACAAUUAACGUUUUUAAUUUUAAAGUAGUAACUUAACAAGAAAAGCCUACUAAAACUUACGUUUACCUUACACUAGCGCGUUACAAGAAAGAUUAAAAGAAAAAGAAGGAACUCGGCAAAUAUUAGUCUCGCCUGUUUACCAAAAACAUCGCCUCUUGCUUAAACAAUAAGAGGUCCAGCCUGCCAGUGACUCAUUGUUCAACGGCCGCGGUAUC
Molecule: ribosomal RNA, 378 nt
Filed under: Dendrobates auratus (green and black poison dart frog)
Lineage: Eukaryota; Metazoa; Chordata; Amphibia; Anura; Dendrobatidae
Description: partial 16S ribosomal RNA
Source: RNAcentral